This 505-nucleotide ribosomal RNA is filed under the name uncultured bacterium. Its description in RNAcentral is "partial 16S ribosomal RNA". It matches the Rfam family "Bacterial small subunit ribosomal RNA", at positions 28 to 507 of the family's 1533-position model. The record is from RNAcentral.
GACGAACGCUGGCGGCGUGCCUAAUACAUGCAAGUAGAACGCACAGUUUAUACCGUAGCUUGCUACACCAUAGACGGUGAGGUGCGAACGGGGGAGUAACGCGUAGGUAACCUGCCUGGUAGCGGGGGAUAACGAUUGGAAACGAUAGCUAAUACCGCAUAAUAUUAAUUAUUGCAUGAUAAUUAAUUGAAAGGAGCAAUUGCACCACUACCAGAUGGACCUGCGUUGUAUUAGCUAGUAGGUGAGGUAACGGCUCACCUAGGCGACGAUACAUAGCCGACCUGAGAGGGUGCUCGGCCACACUGGGACUGAGACACGGCCCAGACUCCUGCGGGAGGCAGCCGUAGGGAAUCUUCGGCAAUGGACGCAAGUCUGACCGAGCAACGCCGCGUGAGUGAAGAAGGUUUUCGGAUCGUAAAGCUCUGUUGUUAGAGAAGAACGGGUGUGAGAGUGGAAAGUUCACACUGUGACGGUAUCUUACCAGAAAGGGACGGCUAACUACGUG